Molecule: long non-coding RNA, 12604 nt
Filed under: Ananas comosus (pineapple)
Lineage: Eukaryota; Viridiplantae; Streptophyta; Magnoliopsida; Poales; Bromeliaceae
Description: long non-coding RNA (ACOM_LNC012653)
Source: RNAcentral
AAAUUAAAUAUCUCUACAAAUGUUAUCACUCAUUUAGCCUAGCUUCUGUAACAUCUUUUCUAAAUGAUCUAACGCACGACAAUUUUCUCUAAAAUCUAUUACAACUUUUGCUUUUGCUUUUGCUACAAUAAUAUUGUAUGCAUGUAGAGAAGAUUUUAGCAAAAUUUUUAAGUUUUUUUUUAAAUAACUCUACUCAAAUGUGAGCACUCGUGGGGCUAAAUGUAACCUUCAGUAGAUGGAUAAAUUUAUGUUCCAUUAAUAUAUUCAACAUAUUUAAUGCCAGUUGCAAUUUGCAGAUCCAUCGCAAAUGGCUCCAACUUUUUUAUGAUAAUGAUAAUAAUGUGCCCAUCUUUAUAUAAGUUCCAAAAAUUAAUAAAGGGAUGUCUUUUUAUUAAAAAGUAGGGACAUGCAUUUUUUUUUCUUUUUUUUUUUAAGAAAAUAUCUUCCUUGAUGUGUAAAUGAGAGUACCACUUAAGCUUUUUGCAUGCAUGGAAAUAAAUGGCUCAGCAAACGUUUAUUUAAUAGUUGCCACCAUUCCAAAAGGGAAGUACAAAAGUAAGAGAAUUUGGUUUUUACCUUCAUUAUUUUCUCUCUACUUUGAUUAAAUAGUGGUCACAAGAUGAGGAGGUCACAUGACUCACAUCAAAGGAAUAAUUGUAGUAAUUUUUAAAAGUAAAAAGAUGGGAAAAAUAUAAAAUUCAAUCAGUAAAGGUAAUUUAACUGUUAUGAAAGAACUUGUUUAAUUGCUGGGAUAUCAGGUGCUUCUCAUUCAAAAUGGUUCCCGCUUUAAUUUGUUUGAUAAUAUAAAUUUAUUUUUUCUCAGGGCCUGAUUUGGAAUAUGUGGCCCAUUCAAGGCCCAACCCCGGCCCAAAAACCCAAAGAAUAAUUGGGCUGGAUAUGAAAAUUAGUCCAUUUAUUUAUAUUUUUAUUUAAUUUCACAAAAAAUUGAAUUUUUUACAAAAGCCCAAAACUGUUUCUUUUUUACUUUUUUAACUGCGAAACGCCGUCGCACUUUGCAAGAGAGAAACCAAAACCCUAAACCCAUUUCCCCACCGACCGAGAGAGAGAGAGAGAGAGAGAGAGAGAGAGCGAUGAUGGCGUGGUGCGCCGCGAGGUCGGCGGCGGCGGCGGCGGCGGUGGCGGCGCCGGGGGCCGACCUGCGGGCGCUGCGCGCGCGCGCGCCCGUGGCGGCGGCGGGGCUCUGCUGCGUCUCCGUGGCCGGCUCCCUCCUCCGGUCCUCCUCCUCCUCGCGCAAAUCCCACAACCCCUUCGCCUCCCUCAACGCGACCCUCUCCUCCUCCGCCAGCGCCGCAGGUACCGGAAAAGGAAAGAUUUUUGUAGGGUUUGUUCUCUUGUUACAGUGUUGCUUCGUUUUAACAAAGUUAUUGUGCAAUUGGUUUUCAACGAUUAUGAUUAGAUGUUUGCAACUGCGUAGUGUAUCCGGCUUGUUGGAAAAAAUUAUUCUGCAAAAAAGGAAAACAGAUCUGCGAAAUGUGACUAUUUAGAGCUUCUCUAGCUGUGUAAGCGGUAAGCCAUUCUUUGUAAGGGAGAAUCAUGAACCAUCCGGUAUGCCGGGAAUUAAUCUUUAGCAUAUGAUUAAGCUAAUUGUAAGUAAAAUUCUUGAAUCUUGAAUCAUUUUAGUUGUCGUAGUGUCGCUUGUUUUUGAUAAGUCAAUUUUUGUUUUCUCGCAUUCCUAUGUGCACUGUUCGUUACGUUGAAAUCUUGACCAUUAAAUUUGAGGUAUAAAAGGAAAAAACAAUCGAAACAUUCAUGGAGUAUUCAGUAUUAGAAUUUUAUGAAAAAUAAUUAGCUCAAGCUUUGCAAUCCGAUGCCCUGUUUUUAGAUAAGAAGGAGGCUGUCCAGACAGAAAAUGCGCCUGCGGCGUUAGGCUCGUACUCGCAGGCUAUCAAAGCCAAUAACCUUGUUUUCGUCUCUGGUGUUCUGGGCCUUGUUCCCGAGGUUUGUCAUCUCUAGUUCAUGGGGUUAAUUCUAGAAAACUAAGUGCAUUUGCGGCGAAAUAGCAUUCUUUCAAUUUCUAAUUGGUGCACUUUUUGUGAUCCGUACUUUUGUAGACAGGAAAGUGUAUCUCUGACAGCAUUGAAGAGCAAACUGAGCAGGUAAGCAAGUCGAAUUUGAUUAUUCCGUAGAUUAUCAGUUACAUUUCGUAGUUUUCUUGUUUUGCAAUUUGCUUUUGUCUUUUUAACGAGUACUAGAAGCGAUACUGACCUAAUGAAGGUAUAGUAAACAUAGUGUGAGAUGUAAAAUUCCUAUGUUCAAUGUUUAUAUUGACGCUGCAUUCACUUUAAAGUGUCAAUAUGUUUGUUUUAAGGCAAACUUUUUGAUAGUAAUGCGUAAUGCCUGAUCAUAUGUGGUUAUGUACUGCAUCUGCAACAUGUGAAAAGCCUUUUAGUUUUAAGAUGCUUAUAUUAAUCUAUUAAAAGUGUAGUAAAAAUGGUCCUUGUUUUUGCAUUAACUUUGUGUAUAGACUAAGAAAUAACUGAACGGAUGAUAGUGAUUUUUUUUUCCUCCUUCCUGUAGAUGAUUUCCCGAAAUUUUUGGUGAGUUUGGUGUGAAUGAUAGCAUAGUCAUUUGAAGCAUUUACUUAUUACUUGUAAUUUAAGAUGGCAAAGUUCUCAAGCAAAGUUUUGGGAGUAUCUUGUAAGAACUCUUAAAACCCUCCAAUGUGAGAUAUGUUUGGGCCUCAGGUUUUAACAUUUUUGGCCUGCAUGUAGCCCUAUUGAUUGACACCCAAAAGUUCCCCUGUUGAUCCAAGGCGCUGAUGUUAUUACAGAGUCAAUAAGUGUCUGACUUGACUUUAAUUUAGCAUAGCUUUUCGUUAGGGUAUAGGUUGGACGCUCUAGGCUGGGACUGGGCCAUUUGUUUCAAACCCUCCCCUCGCCAAACUAGGGCGUGAUACUAGCCCAGCACAAUAUAGAUCGCAAGACGUGUUGAAGAUCUUGAGUUUCAGCCUAUUUAUCUAGUAUCAUCUCAUACUCACUAUCAUUUAGUGUCUUCUUUCCUUGGCUUUUGAAUCAACUUUCAUUAUGGGAAGCAUAACCCGUGCAUUUGACGAAUAGAUCAUGAGCUUCACUGAGAAGCAAAAGUCAACUUUUGAACCCCAGAUACAAAAGAUUCAAUUUUGAAUUCUCUUCCAGCUAAGCCAAAAGAUGUUGGGGAAUUUAGUCAGCAGUUGGCGCUUCUUGAAAAGCUAUACAUGAACACACCUACACAUGCUUAAGGCAGUCAAUCAUGCUAACAUACCUUCUAUAUUGAAGCUUAAUUGUUUCAACCAAAAAGAUGAAAACGAUUCCGUUUAUGUCCCACUUAUUCUUGUUAUUAUGUAAUCUAAUUUUGCUGUUAAUUGUUCAACUUAGGAAAUUUAGAUAUGAGAAACAUUAAGAAAUUCAGAGAUGAAAAACAUAGAUGUUGUUUAUUAUGUAAUCUAAUUUUGCUGUUAAUCGUCCAACUUAGAAAUUUAGAGAUGAAAAAUAUUAAUUUUUAAUCCCUUUUUGUCACCUUUUUUCUUCUUUGGACUUUGGGGUGCUUUUCUGAUUUAGAUUCCUUUAUGCAUUUGGUCAAAUUAUAUAUUAUUGUCAAAACUUCUGAUAAUUGUUUGACACAUAUUCUUGUGAUAAAUUUUUAUAAGAAUUUAUGUUAUGGCAUUUCAAGACUUCAAGUUAUAAUUGAUGGUUCUUUCAAAAUAUGUAGAUCAUUUCGCAAUUUCUUAUUCAUCUUACCAAUAUGUUCUUCUAUUUCAGUAUUUUGCCGCAACUUUUCUAAUUAUUUGGUCUCUUGACUUUUUGGAUAACUACCUAACAGGUUUUGAAGAAUAUGGGGGAAAUAUUGAAAGCGAGUGGUGUCAGCUACUCGUCUGUUGUAAAGACAACGAUAAUGUAUGCUCUACUUCUUUCUGUUGUUAUGAGAUACAAAACCAUCAUCUAAUGGUUGGGGCAGAAGGAAAUUUUAGUGGAAGGCAUUUUUGUUGUCAUUGUUAUGGCUUAGGUUACUCUGUGCUGUCUUGUUUGUUUGCAAAUGUUGUUUGUUUGGAAUUCAAGGAAUAAGUUUUAUUCCUGGAAGAAGUAUGAUAGUGACACAUCAUAUAUUAAAACUUUGCAUUCAAGGUGUCACUUUGUUGUGUGAAAUAAGCGCCUUAUAAUAAGCCUCAUUCCAACCUUAUUCUCCAACUUUUUGCUGACUGCUAAGAAUCUUCCCUUCUGCAGGUUAGCUGACUUGCAGGAUUUCAAGAAAGUGAACGAGAUAUAUGCGAAAUGUAAGUUCCUAAACUUUGAAUAUAUCUUGGGUUUGUUGUUUGUUCUCAAAAAAUUAGCAAUAAGUGCAUUGACUUUGAAUGAGGUACUCUGAAGAAUGGUUAUUCUUUAUUGCUUUGAGGAUUGUUCGCUAUUACUGCGAUAUUGUAUGAGAUUGUAAUUGAUGAGAUUAUAGAAAGUACAUAUCAUUUGAAUUGUACUAAUUAUAUCUUGUAUGAUGCAAUGAAAAAAAAAAGGCUUUUUUGCAUUGAUUUGUAUACUCGUGUCACUAAUAAAUUCGUGGGAUGAUUGAUUUCUGAAAAUCUUGGUCAUUUAUAUUUUGAGUUAUGCUGCACCUUAUUUUGGAGCAUUUCAAUUUUCAACGUUGUAGCUGUCUUAAUUUUUCAUACAUUCUGAUAUGUUUAAGAACAUGCAUAUUUGGUCGUAUGUCUGUAAAUCUCUCGUCUGUCAAGUGUUUUAUAGCUACUCCAUUAUAAAACAACAAUUUUGUCAUGCAGAUUUUCCGGCCCCAGCCCCAGCACGUUCAACCUACCAAGUGGCAGCCCUACCAAUGAAUGCCAGGAUCGAGAUCGAGUGCAUUGCUGCCCUCUAGAGCUCCUCUACUCUCAAUGCCUAAAAGGCUUUAUCCUGUUUCUAGAUCUUUAAUGAAUAAUUGCAUCAGGAUGCUUUGGUCACCUUGCUAUUGAACUUAAAAGGUUCAGCUUCUAUUUCAUUUAACCAAUGCUUGCUUCACUGAGGCGUGUGGUGAAAACUACUUCUAGAAACAAGAUUGUAGUUUUUCUUUUUUGGGAGAAAUGAGCAGGGCUUAAUGAUAUGAGAAAUUCGGCAGGGUUGAUAUGGAUGCUGAAACAGGUUUAUGAUGAUAACUUUGUUUAUUGGGAUUUUCCUUUGUGGUUCAUGAUUUCAGUGUAGGAGUUCAAUAGAAACUAUGUUGACAACCUGGGUGUUCUGAUAUUCCGAAUAGUAGCUUCAAUUACAAGGUGAUUUAUCAUAUUCCAAGUAAAAGUGUAGAAGAGGCCAUAUAUUCUAUGCAAUUGUAGACAUCUUCUCGUACUCCCCAUGAAUGAAUUACCACGAAGCCCUGUAGGGUCCAUUCGGAUACACGAAUAUCUCGUUUAUCAUGUCCUUUUUGUUUUCUUACGUGGUUUUCGUAAUUGGUUUGGUAAUUGACUUGAUUGGGAGCGGGGAAGAAGAAUGUCUGUAGCAUGCAAUGAAUGUAUAGCCUUUUACUUUUUUUUUCAGCAGAGUAUGGUAAAUUAAUUAUGAUUAUGAUAAUUUGUCAAGUUUUGAAGUUGCAAUCACAAAAGAAAUUCUCUAUCAUUCACAAGGUUUGUCCAAUUAAGUCAUUCCAACAUUCAAAUUGGCCCUUAAAUGAGCCCACAUAUGUCUUAGGCUAUCUAUUGAAGUAUGCAUAUCCUACCUUUCACCCAUCCACCAUCCUUAUUCAGCGUACAGUGAAUAAACAUGAAUAGUCAACUUUGUUUGAUGUACGAUACUUUUCUUUAUACGUAUUGAAGUACUGAUACUUAUAUAAUAUUCAGAAAUAUAUUUAUACAUGUGUAAAUCAAACAUCACAUAUAUAGGAAAAUAACAUGAUGGUAUUAAAUAUAAUAAUAAAGGACAAGGUUUAAUUCUAGUUAUAUCCAUAUUCUAGUUGCUUCCGUGUGCUUCUUAUUGUGGAUACAUUGCAUGAGAUUAGAUGGUCAGCUUUGUUCUUAAUUAACUUAUUUACAUUACGAGUUGUGGAUAUCCCAGUAAUGUUUCUUUUCUUUCUGAAAUAUAAUAAGGUUUCUGCAGUCAAUGCUACAGGAAUGAAGUAACCAAUCUACCGCGCUUGCGAGUUGCAGUUCCUCUUCUCAGGUGUGAAUUCUCGAAUCUGUGGAUCAGAAAUCUGGUAAGUUAACUAUCAUUGUCAUAUCGAAACCUGUUAUUAAAUGUUACUCUUAUCUCUUCUUUCUUGUUUUUCCAUGUAUGUUGUUUCCUUGCAUUUGAGCAUGUGACAUUUCGUAAUUAAUUGCAACCUUCCAACUUUUGGCCGCCAUGACAGUUGUCUCCUUUACCUGUCCAGUGUAUGAAGAUUACAUAGUAAGAUCACAAUGGUAUAUUUGUCUAUAAUCAAAGUUUCAUCUUGCUGUCGCUGUUAUGAGGAAGAAAACUAAGAGAACAUGUGAGAAACACUAAGGUAGGGUAGUAUUUCCAUUUGCGAAAGCAAGUCGCUUUCGCGAGGACUUGUUAUGCAGAUCCAACAAAGGUUACAAAGCCAUUGCUUUCUCUUUAUGUAGUAUGUUAUGCGAAACUUCCGCGAUUCAUCUCGACAUGCUGACUCGUUCCGUGCCAUGUGCACAAUCCUUGAUGUAUGCUACAUGGAUGUUCAGUAUCUCUUUCUCUCUCAUUUCCUAAAGGAUGUAGAUAAUUGUUGUUUAUUUGUUGGAAUUAUUAUAAUAUUAUGAUAAACCUUCUUUUUGAACUAUGUAUUCUUUUGAGAUGGUUCCUUUAAUUUGUAGCCAACCCAACAUUGCAUGUGAUUGAUCCAUAAAAUAAGUGCCACUGGUUUUAGGAAUACCAUAGUUAUGGUCCUAUCACUAUCAAACUCAGUUAAGAAAUUUUUUCAUUAGUAGUACAUAAUGAAGUAACAAAAAAAAGCCAUGGGAGUUGAUCAUUCACUCUCUUAAGUGAGUUGAAACCAUGUUUUCUUAAAGAUUAUUUUUGGAAUUGGGCAAGGUUUAGCAAUUCUUGCUUUACCAACUAUUUUCAUGCCAAAUUUUCUUCUUUUUUCUCUACAUCAAAAUCUUGAAAUAUCCAAUCAUUUUAAAUGCUUCCCAAUUCUCUUGACCAACAUGAGCACAUAAUGGUUGGUGAAGUAAAUGACAAUAAAUGAAACUCUUAACUUUAGCUAAGUGAUGUUUACACUUGGUACCCCCAAAAAUAUGUGUUGUUAACAUAUUGGUCCACACAAACUUUGUGAGGAAAGUACAACUCCUAUACCACAGGUGAAAUUUUACACCAUAGUAAUUUGAGAUUCUUUCCACAUGCUUUAAUGAUAGCUCUGAGCAUCAAAUCUAGGAAAAUUUUUGUGAAUAGAUAUAUCAACUCUUCGUUGCCAUUAGUUCUUAGUGAGCACCAGGAUAUAGCAUAUCUAGGAGACCAUUAUAGCAAACAUUUUUGAGUCACGUUGAUGUUGCCUAUGCCCAAAUAAAUGUAGGGCAAGGUGACAAAUCAUUAAGAUUCAAAAAAAAAAAAGAAGAAGAAGAUGAAAUUCAGGUAAAAAUUUAUGGGGCCUCUUCAUUUAUAAGCUAAUCUAAGAUAAGCCCCUUUAUUUUUCUUUGCUUAUCAACAGUUUUAUUUUGAUUUGAGUUGCUCCCCCGGGGUAAAUUAAAAAUUUUAUCAAAUUUAUUAAAUUUGGUAGUGAAUUUUUAAAUUUAAUGACUCGAACUGCUUUCCAACGAAAUGGAAUUUUGGAUUCCAUUAAGUUGAUGUCUACCUACUGAUCGAGCCAUCGAAUUUAACAAAAUCUUAAUCUAAUCAUCAAGAAUGAUUCAAAUCAAAGAAAAUAAUAACUUAACAAAAAAUUCAAUAAAAAAACAUAAAUUUGAGGGACUUGUAGCCUAUAAGUGGAAUAUUCUAUCCAUUAAAAUUAUAGAUAUUAAGUCUAAAAGCAAAAAUGUAACUCCUAUUUUAUAAUAACAAAAUAAAUAUAUUAAUAUCAAAUAAGUUAUAUAAGGAUAAUUUGUUCCAAUAUCUAAUAGAGUUGUAGAGAAAAAUAGUUAUUUUAUAUUAUUUUAACAUAGUAUUAGAGUGGAGAAUAUUGAGUUUCAACUUCCCCAGAUUCCAGCUCCUAGAAAGUCGAGUCAUCGUGAGUAUUAAAUAGAUAAUAAUAAAUUACCAUAUUGUAGUAACUUAUGUUAAUAAUAAAUUACCAUAUUGUAGUAACUUAUGUUUAUAUAUACCUUGGCUCGUUUUUGGCUAAAACGAUCUGCUUAUUCUAAGCUCCUUCAUUUUUGUUAGAUCUUGAUUCAAUUCUUUUUUUAGUGUGUGUGUGUGUGUGUGUGUGUGUGUGUGUGUGUGUGUAUAGAGUCCGGCUAUGGUGCUUGUAAAAAUACGAAACACUUGAUGCUUGUAAAUUUUUUACCAUUAGAUUUAUGAUCAUUUUCAACCGUUAGAUUAUACUAUUCAACCAACCACCACUCAACCCUAGGGAGCCCACGUCAUCCUAACUGCACAUUGCUUAAUCCAAUGGCUAAAAAUCUACAAGCACCAACAACUUGGUACUUUUAAAAGCAUUGGAGCUCAAUUAUAUAUAUAUAUAUAUAUAUAUAUAUAUANUCUCUCUCUCUCUCUCGCAUCUACUAGUAAGUGUAGUACUCACAUAAGCCAAGUUUUUUCUCCAACAAUCUCUCUCUCUCUCUCUCUCUCUCUCUCUCUCUCUCUCUAAUAUGUAGUACUCAGAUAAGCCAAGUGUCUCUCAAGAGACACUCUCUCUCCUAUUCUCCAAUGCAAUUUCAACACCUAUAUUUAUACACAUGUUAAGAAACAAGGAUUAAAAUGGCGACAGGGUUGGAUAAGUCUUAAGAUUGCCUCAAUCAAAAUCGAGUCACACUGAAAACGCUUUUUGUCACCUUAUAUAUUUGAGAGGCCACCUAAUUAUAUUCUAUCCAUUACUUCUUCGUCCUCAUAAUUUGUUUCCUACGUAGAAGCUUACUAUUUGUCAAUAAUUAUUUCACCAACUUCAUAAUUCCUAUUUUAAUUUGAAUCUGCUUCGUCUAGCUCAAACAAUCAGCCAAAUAUACUUAAAUUCAAUUAUUAUUAUUAGAAUACGUGACUUCAUGUAUCGAUAUGGGCAUACAUAAAUAUAUCGCUAGAAGGGACAAGCGACUCUGCAUAGUCUAGCUAGUUCUCUUGAUGAGUUUCGAUAAAAUAAAAUUAAAAAAAUAUUGUUCAAAUAGAAUUACUCGAAGAAGCACUACAGUUUCGAACUUUAUGUGAUUAAUCUCAAAGCCCUUAUGCACACAUCUACAAAGCAAAGAACCCUCUAGCUAUAUAGCACCCUCCUCAGUAUCCUACACUGGAAAAAGCUCCACUAAUGAAGGCCAAAAAGAAAAAAAACAAAGCAAAAGAAUCAAAGGUACGAUCCUCUUGCCGAUUCCUUAGUAACAGUAAAUUGGGACCACUACACCGCUCAUGCAUCAUGAACUAUACUAUGCAAAGGACUCGUGUAAUUAAAGUAAAAGUAAAUUGGUACAGUAACUAGGGAUGGAUCGAUCUCAUACUCCUCUCUCUCUCUCUCUCUCUCUCUCUCUCUCUCUCUCUUCUGCACCAUUCAUGAGAGAUAUGAGUUACUGCGUACGUAGUUUUCCAACGUCUAAAGCUCCUCAUCUCCUUUUUCCAACCGCUUCAUGGAAGAAGCACAUGUCAACCAUUUGAUCUCUUGUGUUUGUUCAGGUUCCUUUUAUUCACGAGUUUGUGCUCACAGGUUAAUUAUAAUCUAGUACGUACUAUCCCGACAUUUCAAGUCACUUUCUAUUUGGAUAUAUGAACAUCUUAUUUCGACACAUCUCUUCUGUUUGCUAAAGAAUAAUUAAUGUAGCAAUUAGUAGGCUAAGAGAGUGAUUAAUCAAAUGUGCAUAACACUACACUAUAUUCGAUCUUCCAAUUAUUUUCUUUGUAGGUAAAAUACAUUAUACUGAGAUCUUAUGGAGACCUUGUAGGAGAUUAAAAGAAAACCCUCAUUGCGCAUAUUUUAUCAUGAGUAGAUGACUUAUUCUGGUAUCAAAAUCUAUAGGCGCUUCAUUUACGCACUUUAAUUAGUUGCUAAACUCUAACGCUAGCUUUGUCACUCUAAUUAAGUAUGAAAGUUGAAAAACUAAUUACAUGGUUGAAGUUAAAAUGUAUGAGGGACCAACUUGCAAUAUCAGGAUAUACAGUAAAGGGACUGUCCAUACACUUCACAAUAUAUUCUCUCUACCCCACUCAAAGGUGUUUGAUUGGGUUCCAUGAGGCAAGGGGACUGAGCAACUUUGAGGGGACCAUUAGCUCACAAGAACAAAAAAUGGCCGACCAAAUUAUGUGUGAAUGGAUGUGACACAUUAACAACAAAGUCAAUUUGGUGGUAAUUUUAUACACUUUACAAGGGCUUUUGUGACAACACCAAUGGAUGGUUUUAUUUGAAAAGGUUGAUGGAUUUGGAAUAUUCUAUGGUGACUUUUUUGUGUAGAGGGGGGAUGUGUAUUCAAAUUGAAUAUUGCCAAAGAUACUACGGAGAUUUUGUUUUUGGAUUCGUAUUAUAUGAUGUUUGUAAUUAAGGUAGAUAUGUACAAGAAUGUUUGAUUUUUCAAAGGUGGAAGCUUAAUAAUAAGCUCAAAUUUAUGGAAGUGUUGUUUUAGAUAUAGUUCUUAUUAUUCGAAAAAUGAGGUAGGUGGAUGGUUAAUUAGGUUCGAGGUUCGAUUAUGGUGGCGGUGGUUGGGAGUGGUGGAAAUGUUAUCGUACCACUAUAUUUGGUCCCGGAAAUUGACAGUAAAGAUUACGACAAGCGAUUGCAGCAAACUAAGCACUGUAGUUAUCUCUUAUCGAUGUCUAUUGGUAGUGGUUGCAGAGAUUGAGUAACAACACCUCGAUAACAAAUGUAACAGUAGUAAUUCGCGGCUCGUGCUAUAAUUGAUGGUUGUGUGGAAUGUUUUGAAUCAGGGAGAUGCAAAUGAUGAUAAAUGGAGUGGGCACUGGUGGUUGCUAUAACUACAGUGGGAAGUGGUACUAGGGCAUUGUGUGUGGGGGGGGGGGGGGGAAUGUUUUUCCCCCACCACUUAGUAUGUUUUGGGGCUUUGAGCUCUUUUACCUUAUUCUUCUUAAGCUAAAAUUAGAUCUUAUAACUAUAUCUGUGUCUCUUCUCAAUUUUAUACGAUGUAGAACAAACAACUAAUACAAAAUGAAAUGUGAAAAAUUCUAAUUAUUUGUUUCUUAAUGCUAGUAUAGUUGACAAAGAUACAAGUUUCUCUAGGCUCUAACGAAAAGUUAAAUUAAUGUAGUAUAAGUCAUCUUAACUAAAAACAUAAAGUAAAAUCAAUCGAUUGACAAGUUAUUGAGCAUGUAUAUGAUCGAUCUGUCUCAGAAAAUGUUAAUUAUCAACUUAAUGCAUGGUUAUAAGUUAGUGCACUUAAUUUGUCCUUGAUUUUUUUUUUGGCUUUUUAGUAGGCAUCAUAUUUAUCUCUACCACCACAUGAAAUAGCAUUUAAUUUGUUUUGCCCCUACUUGCAAUUGAUACAUCGAUAUAUCGGGAUAUAAAGUAUACUAUUUAGUUCCUAAAUUUGCACAAAAGCUUAUGAUCAUGAGAAAUCAUUUGUAAUGAAGGUUUUGGUAAGAGGAAUCUAUAUUAAUAUUCAAAGAAUAUAUAUAUCUAGAUGCAUCUUGGUGAAAUAUGAAACACUUAAAAAAUAUUUAUAUUUUACCUGUCUCCAUUGCCCAAUUUAAUGCACGCGCACCAUCAUUAAAUUAUAUUUGAAUUUCAUUAGAAGUAAGCAUGCCCUAUAUAAUAGUCCUAUUAAUUUGGAAAUGCUUUGUCUUGUCUGCCGCGAACGAACUGGCCCCGCCGUAAAUAUUUCUAAGGCGAGUGGUCAUUUAUAGUACAGAUUAAAUUUGUUUAAAUUUUAUUUUGAAAUCAGGAUUACGAGUUCAUGGCUUCCAACAGACUCAAGAGUUUGUUGUUAAUUACCCCACACUUUCGGUGUUAAGAAACCCUCGAUUAAGAGACCAAAUAUAAAUGCUGAUUAUAAAAGAGACAAAACAGGCAAAUAAAAUUUCAUUAAUAUAAUUUACCGUGUAUAUGGCUUAAAUAGGGGCAUUCCCCCACUAUACAUAGGCUUUAUAAAACUAAAUACUCAGUUUAUAGACUUGAUGGUCGAUUGAUUGCUCAGUUUAAUGACAUAGCGGUCGUUUGAAAUAGGUGAGGUUGAGUUUAAUUUUAAUUUGCUCAGUUUAACGACAUGUCGGUCAUAUCUGAACUAGAUCUGCUCAGUCUAGCGACUUGACGAUCGAUUAAAGUUGAGAUGCUCAGUUUCGUUAUAUGGCGGUCGGUUUGAAUUAUGGUGCUCAGUUUAAUAACAUGGCGGUCGAGUGUUCAGUUUAAUGACUUAAUUGAGUGUUCAUGGUCCUUUUUGUAGUGAUUUUUGGAUCUCUUUAUUUUGGGAAAUAAUUCAAAAUUUUUUGAAGAUAAGAUAAGAAUAUUUUUUUUUAUCUCUUUCCUUGUUGACAUUUAAUCCUCUAAGAAAAGUAGUAAUUAAAUUAAAUCACCAUUAAUUUCUUUCCUUCUACAUUCUCAAUUUGUAUUCGAAUUUGAUUUUUUUUUU